AAAUGGUGUCAAGUUCUAACUUCAACAUGGCGUCGUGAAAACGCAAGUUUCGCAUUAGUGUUCAACGGUAAUAUACGACGCGGAGCAAGUCUCAGCUCAUCAGUUCUAUUUCGGCUUCCAACCGAAGAGGAUGUCCGGCGAAGAGGCGUGACACCUCGUCACGACGUCAGUAAAUCAGCGAACGUCAAAUGGCACGUACAGUGGACGCAAGGUAUUUGCAGACACCGAGAGAAUGGCUGUGGCCGAGUUUUCUCAUACGGCCAUGUUUUGUGCAAUUCCUGUGUGAAAUGCAUCUUUUUCCCCUCAAUUUUGUUCAUUUCUGGCUGAACGUGUACCACCCAAGGCCAUAACAAUCAAGGAAGAAGAAGAAGAAUGCCGAAGUUGAAUAAGGCUGUCAAGCUGAUGUCCUGAAACUUCAUAAAGUUACCCAUAUUGAGGUGAAGGAAAUAAUCUGCCUGUGGCUGCAACAGAGCAAAACAAGAGUAAUGAGAGGUAAAACUUUUGUUAUUCUAACAACUUUAUUUUAACAACUUUUUUAUUGUAACAUUGAAAGUUGUCCAUGAUUGUAUUUUUGGCUAGUUGCCUUUUAUAUACAAAAAAAUUAAUUUUGAAUUUUAUUUUACAAUUUUCAAUUCUGGUAGUGGAAUUUAGAUUUCCAGAUUUUUGUCUUAUAAAAAAUUAAGAACUACAGACUUUCAUUACAUGAUAUUUCUCAUCUGUGUAUUUCUGCAACAAAAAUUAAAAUAAAAUAUGUUUGGUUUUCGAUUCAGUACUGCUUAAUUUAACAUUUGUUGAAUUUUAUUUGGAGCACAGCAUAGUUUUUAACUAUGUAGUUUCUUUUUCUGCAAUGUGAUGAUAAAUUUACGUAUGUGUUAAUACUAGACUAGGAUACAAUGAAACCCCUUAUUUGCACUGUUCGUGGGCACAAAGUAAAAAAGUGUAAAAUAAGGGAAAUGUAUGGAAAAUCAUUUUUUGUCAAAUAACUGUCAUAUUAUACAACCUAAACAUAUUGCACUAUCAUAUAAACAUAACUAUUCCUUAUUAUGAGUGUCUGAAGCAUAUCUAAAAAUAAUAAUUGACAUUUAAUCUUUAAUCUCUUAUUUACAUUCUGUAAAGUGUAGGUAAGCAUCUAUAAAAUACAUACGUACUUUCAUACUGUAGUUGGCAAUUCAUAUCAGAUGUUUGCAGAUUAAGAAUAUUGAUAAAAAUCAAGGUCAUUAGAUACCAGGUCGUCUCAACAGAAGAAAAACGAGUUUGGUCGUUCGGGUGUUUCCGUGAUAUGACGUAUCCGCUAGACCUUCAAAGUAAACAAAACUGUGAAAUUGCGUGCUUGUUUUGAUUUUGUUUUCGUGCUGUGGUUUAGUAAUGUAAAAAUGCCUGCUGUUGAGAAGAAAUUGGUUGCUUCAUUUGUAAGAAUAAGGACUUUUUUAAGAUUGAAUCAUUUCAAUCGACAGCUAAGUAAAAAACGUGUUGGAAGAAGCAGCAACAAAGUGUGCAAGAAAAUGAAAAAAAAUUGUAACAUAAAUAGUAGGCUAAUAGAUUUUUUGAAGGAAGUGUCAUUUAAUUUAGAUUUAGCAAAAAAAAAUUGUGGGGUGUGUUUGGAGUGAUAGUAAUCUUUUGUAUUUCAUAUGAAAUAAUUUACAUGUAAAUUGCAGUCAUGGAUAAUUUCAGGAUGUGUGUUUGCUACAGAAUUGUACAAAAACUUAUGACUUGGCAAGAUAGAACUUCUAAAACUGUUUGACAGGACUAAAUGUUAUUGGAUGUAUUAUGUUUGUAGGAAAACAAUAAGGCUCCUGAUAUUGCUCAUCGUUCAUUGAAUAAAAGCAUGUUUGAUGUGAACCACA
This is a long non-coding RNA of Bacillus rossius redtenbacheri, 1844 nucleotides long. RefSeq lists it as uncharacterized. Lineage: Eukaryota; Metazoa; Arthropoda; Insecta; Phasmatodea; Bacillidae. The transcript has 2 exons. The record is from RefSeq and is a predicted model, not a curated record.